This 301-nucleotide ribosomal RNA is filed under the name uncultured bacterium. RNAcentral's name for it is "partial 16S ribosomal RNA". It matches the Rfam family "Bacterial small subunit ribosomal RNA", at positions 509 to 807 of the family's 1533-position model. The record is from RNAcentral.
CAGCAGCCGCGGUAACACGAAGGGUGCAAGCGUUAAUCGGAAUUACUGGGCGUAAAGCGUGCGUAGGCGGUGAGUUAAGUCUGCUGUGAAAUCCCCGGGCUCAACCUGGGAAUGGCAGUGGAUACUGGCUCGCUAGAGUGUGUCAGAGGAUGGUGGAAUUCCCGGUGUAGCGGUGAAAUGCGUAGAGAUCGGGAGGAACAUCAGUGGCGAAGGCGGCCAUCUGGGACAACACUGACGCUGAGGCACGAAAGCGUGGGGAGCAAACAGGAUUAGAUACCUCGGUAGUCCCUGUCUCUUAUAC